This is a long non-coding RNA of Centruroides sculpturatus (bark scorpion), 698 nucleotides long. RefSeq lists it as uncharacterized. The record is from RefSeq and is a predicted model, not a curated record. The transcript has 4 exons. Lineage: Eukaryota; Metazoa; Arthropoda; Arachnida; Scorpiones; Buthidae.
UCAGUCCGGCUACCAGCUGUUCACGUGGCUUUUCGCACUAUCACAUGUACAGUACGGCACGGAAAUUACCCGGCAUUCAACUGCACUUCCGAGAAGAUUGCAUGAUGGGUACGAUCGAUGCCAAGUCGCCAGUGGAUGAGCGAGCGCAGCGGGUAAUACGAUAAGGGGUUGAAAGCCGCAAACACGCUGCUACACCCUACGACACUCAGAAAACAGUUGCAAAGAUAAGUUACAAACAAACUACACGUAUAUAGAAUCCUACAAAGCACCAGAAAUUUAAUGAUCUCUACUAUUUAACGAUUACUGUAGAAAGACAAACUGCUACAAGUGACAUUGAAAAAAAUGAGUCUUCAGCAUGAACACCAGAGAGUACAUAAUAGGAAAAAGAUUGAGUGUUUUUCUCCAAGAGAAUUAGAUGAUCAUGAACCAAUUGAAUGUGAAGAAAAUUUAGAAAUUCUCUAUCUUACAACAAAUGAAGACAUUAAGAACAGUCAUCAGGAAUUUAUGACUUAUGUAUCAACAUGAAAAAGGAAAUCCAGAACAACUCAGGAAAAAAAAUCAAUUUUUCAGAGAAUCCAAUUAGCAAGCAUAAGGACUUUGCAACCACAUUAAUCCUUUAUUUUUAUAAAUGUGAUACUAUUUAUGGAAUCUCAACUUUAAAAAAUUGUAGCUAUUAAUUACAUAUAAGCUAUUGUCAU